Molecule: non-coding RNA, 21 nt
Filed under: Arabidopsis thaliana (thale cress)
Lineage: Eukaryota; Viridiplantae; Streptophyta; Magnoliopsida; Brassicales; Brassicaceae
Source: RNAcentral
GAAGCUUUUGACCAGAGUGGA